AUACGGGAGGCAGCAGUAGGGAAUCUUCCACAAUGGACGCAAGUCUGAUGGAGCAACGCCGCGUGGAUGAAGAAGGUCUUCGGAUCGUAAAAUCCUGUUGUUGAAGAAGAACGUAUGUGAGAGUAACUGCUCANAUAGUGACGGUAUUCAACCAGAAAGUCACGGCUAACUACGUGCCAGCAGCCGCGGUAAUACGUAGGUGGCAAGCGUUGUCCGGAUUUAUUGGGCGUAAAGGGAGCGCAGGCGGUUAAAUAAGUCUGGAUGUGAAAGCCCUCANCUCAACUGAGGAAUUGCAACGGAAACUGUUUAACUUGANUGCANAANAGGAGAGUGGAACUCCAUGUGUANCGGUGAAAUGCGUAAAUAUAUGGAANAACACCAGUGGCGAAGGCGGCUCUCUGGUCUGUCACUGACNCUNAGGCUCGAAAGCAUGGGUAGCNAACAGGAUUAGAUACCCUGGUAGUCCAUGCCGUAAACAAUGAGUGCUAANUGUUGGGAGGUUUCCCCNUUUCAGUGCUGCANCAAACNCAUUAAACACUCCCCNUGGGGAGUACNACCNCANGGUUNAAACUCNAAGGAAUUGACNGGGGCCCCCNCAANCGGUG
RNAcentral lists this ribosomal RNA (605 nucleotides) under Lactobacillus sp.A A45. RNAcentral describes it as "partial 16S ribosomal RNA". It matches the Rfam family "Bacterial small subunit ribosomal RNA", at positions 339 to 934 of the family's 1533-position model. The record is from RNAcentral. Lineage: Bacteria; Bacillati; Bacillota; Bacilli; Lactobacillales; Lactobacillaceae.